This 440-nucleotide ribosomal RNA is filed under the name uncultured low G+C Gram-positive bacterium. RNAcentral's name for it is "bacterial SSU rRNA". It matches the Rfam family "Bacterial small subunit ribosomal RNA", at positions 1 to 412 of the family's 1533-position model. The record is from RNAcentral. Lineage: Bacteria; Bacillati; Bacillota.
GCCCUUAGAGAUUUGAUCAUGGCUCAGGACGAACGCGUGGCGGCGCGCUUAACACAUGCGAGUUGUACGCUCCGCCCUUUUCUGCCCUUCAGGGCAGAGAGGAUACCGGAGAGUAACGAACGGGUGAGUAACGCGUACGCAACCUGCCCUGAGGAGGAGGAUAACCCUGCGAAAGCGGGGCUAAUCCAUCCAUAUGUUAGGGGAUGAGGAACAUCCCUUAAUGAAAGGCGGCAUUAAGCCGUCGUCUCACGAUGGGCCUGCGUCGGAUUAGCCAGCUGGUGAGGUAGCGGCUCACCAGGGCGACAAUCCGUAGCUGGUCUGAGAGGACGAUCAGCCACACUGGGACUGACACACCGCCCAGACUCCUACGGGAGGCAGCACUGGGGAAUCUUCCGCAAUGCGCACAAGCCUGACGGACCGACGCCACGAUGGCUGAAGAA